RNAcentral lists this ribosomal RNA (461 nucleotides) under uncultured bacterium. RNAcentral describes it as "bacterial SSU rRNA". It matches the Rfam family "Bacterial small subunit ribosomal RNA", at positions 917 to 1382 of the family's 1533-position model. The record is from RNAcentral.
GGACCCGCACAAGCGGUGGAUGAUGUGGUUUAAUUCGAUGCAACGCGAAAAACCUUACCUACCCUUGACAUGUCUGGAAUCCUGAAGAGAUUUGGGAGUGCUCGAAAGAGAGCCAGAACACAGGUGCUGCAUGGCCGUCGUCAGCUCGUGUCGUGAGAUGUUGGGUUAAGUCCCGCAACGAGCGCAACCCUUGUCAUUAGUUGCUACGAAAGGGCACUCUAAUGAGACUGCCGGUGACAAACCGGAGGAAGGUGGGGAUGACGUCAGGUCAUCAUGGCCCUUAUGGGUAGGGCUACACACGUCAUACAAUGGCCGGUACAGAGGGCUGCCAACCCGCGAGGGGGAGCCAAUCCCAGAAAACCGGUCGUAGUCCGGAUCGUAGUCUGCAACUCGACUGCGUGAAGUCGGAAUCGCUAGUAAUCGCGGAUCAGCUUGCCGCGGUGAAUACGUUCCCGGGUCUU